CAUCUAUGAAAAAAAAAAGAUCUGGGAAAGGAAAUGGCAAACCACUCUAGUAUCUUGCCAAGAAUACCCCCAAUGGAGUCCCAAAGAGUUGGACAUAACUGACAAUGACUGAACAACAACAAUAACACCCUUCGAGAACAACAAGGCCAGCACUCAAGAGGGUGGAAGAAGUCAGAAAGAUUAAGCACCCCUGCUAUGAAGACUGGAUAUUGGAAUAUACUGGUUUUUUUCUUGCUCUAAGUUCAUUCCUGUUCAUGUUCUGUUUCCUGUGGGGAAAAUAAUACAAAACAAAGCCCCAUUACAGGAGCCAACGUCUACUGAAAGCCUGAAGCCUUGACCUCCCCAUCCCCUGACUAUUCUAGAUUCACAGCUUGACUCCCCAAUCUGGCUGAGCUAAACGGCAACUUCUGUGGGUCCUUUCUUUUAAAAUGCUGUUCCGGAAGAAGAUCCCUGGACUGUUUCCUCCCACGACUCUGCUCGCCUUCUCCGAUGGUGUCUUCUUUCACUUGGGUCCUCUAAUUGGCACGCUGGAUGGUGAGGAAUUCCCCUAAGCACCCAGGAGGCUGGCUGACUUCCCUCCCUUGAAUCUAUUUACAUUUGCCUUUCCAGAGCAGCUAGGAGAGUCCACCCACCAAAUAAUCUGUAGCAAUAGCUGGCUCCCAUCUUUAGGGUGGUAUCAGAACUCCCUCGCCUUUGAGGGAAGGGAGCCAUGCUUGUAAACCACAGAAAGAAGACUUGAGCUUGCUGAAGUGUAAGCAAAGGAGCAGGCCACUGACAAACAGCCACUUAGAGCAGACAGUUAGGGAGGCCAAGAAGGGGCAGUGAGUUGAUGAAUGUAACUAUGAGUCACUAAGUUGAACCAUCCUUCCCAAGAGACAUCAUUUCUCCACAAAUGUUUUACUCCAGAUUGUCACGAGCGAACACACCACACUGUUUCCACAAUAUCGAGUUUGGCAACACUCGUGUUUCUGAAUCGAGUUCUAUGAGAAUGUCCGUCCUUUGAUCCACCUUAGUUAUUGACUCCUGUAUAUUCGUGAGUGUGGAUAUGCAUGUGUGUACUUACGCAUGCUAGUUGUGUGAAAAAACAUCUAUUUCUUCAAAGCACUGACAGGAACUUGAGGCAAAGAUGGUAACGUAAAAGGUUCUAAUCCAGGUAGGCUCCCCUGAGAAUGAAUGAAGAGAAUGAAAUCGCAGGAAGCAAGACUAACAGUCCAGGACUGUAGCAGCAGCAGGACUAAAGCUUUCUGCCCUUCUGGCAGAAGGUAGAUCUGGAAACCAAAGGAAUCUCAGGUCGGGGCCAGGCUGUCAGGAAUCGGACCCAACACAGCCCAAUUGAGGUCCCCCUAGAAGAUGAAGGUUGAAGCCAGAAGUUAGGUCCCAAGCCUCACGGGGCUUUGCAUCCAAGACGAUGGAAAUAUGGGACCAGGACCUAGCCACUCCAGGCGUGGCAGGAUCUAGGGCCAAGUCUCCAGUGCCUACUAGACAUCUCUGCCGCAAUGUCCUAUUACUGUGUAAAAAUGAUCAUUCUUGGCCUUCCCUGUCAACAGCAAUGUCUUGCUCUUGGAAUUCCUCCUGAACCAUAUUAAAAAUAUUCACAAUCUC
Long non-coding RNA from Monodelphis domestica (gray short-tailed opossum), 1602 nucleotides. RefSeq lists it as uncharacterized. The record is from RefSeq and is a predicted model, not a curated record. Lineage: Eukaryota; Metazoa; Chordata; Mammalia; Didelphimorphia; Didelphidae.